UGCCCUUGACAUUGACAGAAUCCCGUAGAGAUAUGGGAGUGCUUCGGCCUGGAAAACAGGUGCUGCAUGGCUGUCGUCAGCUCGUGUCGUGAGAUGUUGGGUUAAGUCCCGCAACGAGCGCAACCCUUGUCCUUAGUUGCCAGCACGUAAUGGUGGGAACUCUAGGGAGACUGCCGGUGACAAACCGGAGGAAGGUGAGGACGACGUCAAGUCAUCAUGGCCCUUAUGCCUAGGGCGACACACGUGCUACAAUGGGGCGUACAGAGAGCUGCGAUACCGCGAGGUGGAGCCAAUCUCUAAAGCGUCUCUCAGUUCGGAUAACACUCUGCAACUCGAGUGUUGAAGCUGGAAUCACUA
This 357-nucleotide ribosomal RNA is filed under the name uncultured bacterium. RNAcentral describes it as "bacterial SSU rRNA". It matches the Rfam family "Bacterial small subunit ribosomal RNA", at positions 976 to 1337 of the family's 1533-position model. The record is from RNAcentral.